AUUCCUUCCGGUCGACACGGUCGGACGUCCUAACUUAUGGUGGACCGCGGUGCGGGGAAGCCGGUGGGAGUCCGGCGCGGUCCCGCCACUGCGACCGGCGAGCACGAUCCGGCGCGGCCGACGAGGUCCGUCGGCACGGCCCGGGAGCCACGCGGAUCCGGGAAGUCAGGACACCGGCCGCGGAUGUCCGUGUAGU
This 196-nucleotide non-coding RNA is filed under the name Saccharothrix espanaensis. Lineage: Bacteria; Bacillati; Actinomycetota; Actinomycetes; Pseudonocardiales; Pseudonocardiaceae. The record is from RNAcentral.